Theobroma umbraticum is the source of this 3083-nucleotide RNA transcript. It is a transcript of the gene named P-loop containing nucleoside triphosphate hydrolases superfamily protein, with no coding region annotated. The record is from RefSeq and is a predicted model, not a curated record. NCBI's taxonomy places the organism in Eukaryota, Viridiplantae, Streptophyta, Magnoliopsida, Malvales, Malvaceae.
UCUGGGAGCGCCAUUCGAACGACACCAAACAUUGCUAAUCGAUUUCCAGCGCGCAACUCUUUACUCUCUCUCCUGUACGAUUUCAAUUUGUUUCUCCUAGAAUUACAAAGUACAGUUGUUUUUGAUUCCAAACCCUUAAAGAAACGUCAGAACCCCUGUGAAAUUAGGGUUUUUAGAAAAGAGAAUCAACCAUGUCGAAGCGCAAAUUCGGAUUCGAAGGGUUUGGGAUAAACCGUCAACCUACCUACAACUUCGAGCGAUCCCAAGCUCCUCAGCGACUCUACGUCCCUCCUUCCUCUCGCCACGGCCACGACAACUACGAAGACACUGACCUUGACAACAUCGAUUACGCCGACAAUGAUACCUCCAAGGAAGCCGACAAGAAUAACCCCAACAGCAAUGGAAAUGGAGCGGAAGAUGACGAAAUUGACCCUCUGGACGCGUUCAUGCAAGGUAUUCAGGAGGAUUUGAAAGCGCCGCCGCCUCCGAAACCGAAGGAGAAGGCGGAGAGGUAUAGAGAUGAUGAUGAUGAGGAUGAUCCCGUGGAGAGUUUUUUGAGGGCGAAGAAGGAUGUUGGGCUGACGUUGGCGGCGGAUGCUUUGCGUGCGGGGUAUGAUUCAGAUGAGGAGGUUUAUGCGGCGGCAAAGGCUGUGGAUGCGGGGUUGUUGGAGUAUGAUUCAGAUGAUAAUCCGGUGGUUGUGGACAAGAAGAAGAUAGAGCCGAUUCCGGCUCUUGAUCACAGUGCCAUUGAGUACGAGCCGUUUAAUAAAGAUUUUUAUGAGGAGAAGGCUUCAAUUUCAGGAAUGAGUGAGCAGGAAGUUGCUGAAUAUCGGAAGAGUUUGGCUAUUCGUGUUUCUGGUUUUGAUGUCCCAAGCCCGGUUAAGACAUUUGAAGACUGUGGUUUUGCACCAGAAUUAAUGCGUGCUAUUGCAAAACAAGGAUAUGAAAAGCCUACCACCAUUCAGUGCCAAGCCUUACCUAUUGUCCUUUCAGGGAGGGAUAUUAUUGGUAUAGCAAAAACUGGUUCUGGUAAAACUGCUGCUUUUGUGCUUCCAAUGAUUGUCCACAUUAUGGAUCAGCCUGAACUUCAGAAAGAGGAGGGUCCGAUUGGAGUAAUAUGUGCACCUACUCGAGAAUUAGCACACCAAAUAUUCUUGGAAACAAAAAAAUUUGCAAAAGCCUAUGGGAUACGUGCCUCUGCUGUGUAUGGUGGAAUGUCCAAACUUGAUCAGUUCAAGGAACUCAAGGCAGGAUGUGAGAUAGUGGUUGCUACACCAGGUCGGUUGAUAGACAUGCUAAAAAUGAAGGCACUGACAAUGAUGAGAGCAACUUAUUUGGUACUCGAUGAGGCUGAUCGAAUGUUUGACCUUGGAUUUGAACCACAAAUAAGGUCCAUUGUUGGGCAAAUCAGACCUGACCGACAGACCUUACUAUUUUCAGCAACAAUGCCCCGCAAAGUUGAGAAAUUGGCAAGGGAAAUUCUCACUGACCCAGUCAGGGUUACAGUUGGAGAAGUGGGAAUGGCUAAUGAGGAUAUCACCCAGCUUGUUCAUGUAAUUCCUUCUGAUUCUGAGAAGUUGCCCUGGCUUUUAGAGAAGCUACCUGGAAUGAUUGAUGAGGGUGAUGUUUUGGUGUUUGCUUCCAAGAAAGCUACUGUUGAUGAGAUUGAAUCACAGCUGUCUCAGAAGGGUUUUAAGGUUGCUGCCCUUCACGGUGACAAAGAUCAGGCUUCUAGAAUGGAAAUUCUACAAAAGUUUAAAUCUGGCAUCUACCAUGUUCUCAUUGCAACUGAUGUUGCUGCUCGAGGUCUUGACAUCAAGUCAAUUAAGUCAGUUGUGAACUUUGAUAUCGCAAAAGACAUGGACAUGCAUGUCCACCGUAUUGGUAGAACAGGUCGUGCUGGUGACAAAGAUGGCAUUGCUUAUACUCUGAUAACUCAGAAGGAGGCUCGGUUUGCUGGUGAAUUGGUUAAUAGUCUGAUUGCUGCUGGUCAGAAUGUCUCAAUGGAACUCAUGGAUCUUGCUAUGAAGGAUGGAAGAUUCAGGUCCAAGCGUGAUGCAAGAAAAGGAGGUGGGAAGAAAGGCAGAGGAAGGGGUGGUGGUGGGGGUGGGGGUGGUCGAGGUGUGCGUGGAAUUGAUUAUGGUCUGGGUAUUGGAUAUAAUCCAGAAUCCGGUAUUUCUUCAUCUCAGGCUGUCCAAAGUCGAACUGCCGCUGUAAAUUCUCUGAAAACUGGCAUGAUGGCACAAUUCAGGAGUAGCUUUGUCGCUGCUUCAUCAACCUCUCAGGGUCAAGGCUUCAGUAACAGUUCAAGCAUCAGGAGACCAACUUUGGCUGGAUUUGUAUCUGGUGGGACCAUUGGUGGAGAUAUGAACAGGGUUCAGAUGGCCAGUUCAUUGACCACUGCUCCUACAUCAGGAUUGAACACUCCACAAAAUACUGGACAAAACACUACCCAGAAGAACUCAGAGAGUUCCAGAGAUAGACCUAGAGAAAGGCGGAGGCCCUCUGGGUGGGACCGUUAGUCUUUAGACAUUGAUGGAUGAUGCUUUUUACAUAAACAGGAACCUUUUGUGUUCAAAUCUUGAAUUAAUCUUGUCUGUAUAAUUAUCAUGAUUACUCUUGAAGGGCAUGGUUGUUUUUGGAUUUUAAGGCUGUCUUCAGUUAUGGAGCAUUUUAGAUCCUAGACAGUGGAGGGUGUUUGUGGAGUACACUUAACGAGUUGCAAUUCAUGAUCUUCGUUUCAUCUGGCCAAGGCUAUUAUUUAAUUUAAGCUUGGAAAUGCAGCGAAGAAAAUUGUUGGCCAGGAGCAGCAGCCUUGCACAAGAAGUUGCUUAGUUCCCGUCGCUGGGCUGGAGAUUGUGAUCAGCUGAACGGCUUGAAAUGCGUAUUCAUCUUGCUUCAAUUAUAAAUACAGCGCUGCUGGCAAUCCUCAUUAUCAGGUUUCGAGUAAGUGCACGUCAGGUUUAGUCAUGCACAUGAUAAUUUGUCCUACCAACAAGCUUCUGAAUUUACCCUUUAAGCGAUUAAGGGAUAGAAAUUGUAUGCAGUUCUAGGCCAAUUUUGCUAUAAUGAAAUUCUGGAAU